RNAcentral lists this ribosomal RNA (332 nucleotides) under uncultured bacterium. RNAcentral's name for it is "bacterial SSU rRNA". It matches the Rfam family "Bacterial small subunit ribosomal RNA", at positions 568 to 898 of the family's 1533-position model. The record is from RNAcentral.
CGUGUAGGCGGUUGGGUAAGUCAGAUGUGAAAGCCUUCUGCUUAACAGAAGAAGUGCAUUUGAAACUACCCGGCUAGAGUACGGGAGAGGAGAGUGGAAUUCCCGGUGUAGAGGUGAAAUUCGUAGAUAUCGGGAGGAACACCAGUGGCGAAGGCGGCUCUCUGGUCCGAUACUGACGCUGAGACGCGAAAGCGUGGGGAGCAAACAGGAUUAGAUACCCUGGUAGUCCACGCCCUAAACGAUGGGCACUAGGUGUAGGAGGUAUUGACCCCUUCUGUGCCGAAGCUAACGCAUUAAGUGCCCCGCCUGGGGAGUACGGCCGCAAGGCUAAA